Molecule: long non-coding RNA, 4693 nt
Organism: Cygnus atratus (black swan)
Lineage: Eukaryota; Metazoa; Chordata; Aves; Anseriformes; Anatidae
Exons: 3
Source: RefSeq, a predicted model, not a curated record
UAAAAGAUUGUGCCUGAAGGAAUUUUACAUUUUUGCCCUUGAUGAUUUGCUGCCAGAUAUUGAGGGGACGUCACAUGUGAAGGGAUUAACAGAGGACGGAGCAAGAUAAAGCCAUAUCUGAGCAGGCAGUACUUUUCAUGGUUGGAGUUUUCAGUGAUGAAGAAGUGCUGCCGUGUCUUUAGCCAACACUUAAAUUGACUCUGAAUUCGUCCCCAUCCCCUGCACCCAGCUGGGCUCUUCAAAAUGCGCGAUCCCUUCUUGAGAACCAUCAUGAGUAUGAUUUCCUUCCCACUGAGGAUGUUUCUUUCAGUACUGACAACUGUGCUCUAAAUAUUUGGUGAAACCCAGCAGAUUCAUGCUCCAUCAGGCAAACCUGUUUCCAAAUCCAUUCGAGGCACGGUAACUUGUCCAGAAUGUUAAUGCAAACACUUUUAGUUUCUUCCUUCCUUCAACUUCUGUCACGCUGCUGAUGUAAAAAUAACUAUUUGUGUUUAAAUUUGAACAAAUGUUUCAUUUUGCUCGUCUCCAAAUUUAGGAGCUCCUCCUAAAGCUCUCUUCUGCAAAGUGAGCUUGUAGAUGGUCAGGACCUGGCUGUUCGGGGCUGCAUGUGCGGACUCGGCUGACAUAUGGCCAGGGUAGCUGAGGGUCUGCUGCCUCUGAAGGCAGCAGUGUCUUUGUUAUGAGUACUGGCUUUGGGGGUAUAUUAACUUUGUUAUGAGUACUGGGUUUGGAGGGUUGUUUAUCAGUGUCUUGUCAGGAAAAAAAGAUUCUUCAGAGUUCGUGGGGAUUCAGUAUAUUCCCUUGUGAUUACGUCCAGUUUUGCAAGAAUAUUGGUAUUUAUGUUGCUGAAGUCUGGGUCGUAAGUGUGCAUAGAGAUCUGUAACAGCUGUGUAAAGAACCAAGCUCAGAGAUCCUUGCAAGUCAUGUCGCAAGUUUUCUCUGUGUCCAAAUGUUGCUUAAUCGUUAAAUUAUUUUAAAAUUGUUUGAGGAUAUAGAUAGUAAACUAACGUCAUAUUUAACAUCUAGGGUGCCCAGCAGUUAAUUACUUUCUUUAACAUAUCAAUAUUAUUAGAUAAAAGCCGUGCUAUUCUAAGCUGUUUUUCUGCUGUCUUUUCCACUCUCUAAUUACAAGCUUGAUAUGGAUUUUAUCAUCUAGGUGGCAUGAUGGACUUUGGUCAAUAACAGCAGGAAAUGACAGGGACAAGCUCUCACUCUGUGCUACACCCUCUGUUCCACUGUGAAAAUAAAUGUAGGGACAAACCCUUUUCUCUUUCAGUUUUUUUUUUUCCCUCCCCCUCUUUGUCAGAUGGGUGAGAGUUCAUUGCAAUGGGAAUCAGUUCAACAGGCUCCACUUAGAGUUCUCCCUGUGAAGGACAUGAAUAGAUCUAGGAAAAACUAGAUUUCUUUGAACUUGGAAGAUUUUGUUUUAUAUGAAACUGUAGGAGACGGGGAAAACCGCAGCAGUCAAAGGUAUCUGUCAUUCUGGUGAAUGUACAAUGGUAUAUAAUCAGUGGCUUAGGGGGAUACAUAUAUGCUUUGAGGGUAGUGGGAAAAGUAACUUGCUGGAUCCUGAAGAAUAGGAAGAUUUGGGUUCUGUAAAGGAAAGGAGCUUUACAAUGACUGUAUUAAAUGGGAAACGCUCCCAAGUGCUGACUCCCUGCACCAGUUCUCGGGGUCUCGCUGGGAGUCCAAGUGGUAGCAGAGGUUGUCUUCGCAUCGUGUGACUGCUCAUCAGUGCUAGCAGAAGAGAAGCAUUUUCUGCUGCGUUUCUGCUGCAGAUCACCAGUGCUUCACUGGUGUUGCAGGAAGCUCCUAAUUGUUAAUGUUGUUAGGAAUGCUUUUUUUCUUCUUCCCUCCCUUCCCUCUUACAUUGCGAGCCUGAGUUACUACUGUGCUGGCAGAUAGCAUACUUGGCACCGACAGUAAAGGCAACACUAGAAAGAUUUGUAUUUAAGGAAUCUGCAAGAUGUAUGUCAGAAGGUUUCUUUAGCUGGGAGCUGGUGCUUGGUGGAGUUCCGUCUGUUUGUACUGAAUAAACUGGCGUUUGAGUCCUCAGAAGACCACAGAUCUCUUCUGCUGGAAAAAGUGGGUGUUGUAGGAAACUCUAGAUAUAGCCAUGCUAAUUCUCGUAAAUCUCUCAGCUUCUUUCCAUGCCCCUAAACAUAGGGUUUGCAAUCCCUAAUGGGGUAUGAAGACACCGCAUUGAAGUGGCUUUACUUGGCACUGGAUUAAGACAUUCUGGGGCCUUGAGCCGUAACACAACUUGGUUCUGGCACCGUCACUGCGCUGCAGUUCUUGGCAGAGGGCUCCUCUUAUCAUAUAAGUGGAGUUAGGAGCUUUUUAUCCUGCUAGGACUAAUAGCAACACCAUAUCUUCACCUCAGAGCAGCAGGGGCACAUAUGCAUGGGGCAGCACACUAAGUAUUACCUGCCCCCCCCCCCUUUUUUUUUUUGAAAAGAACUGUUUUAUCCUUUGUAGUUACCUAAGUAUUUAUGGGUUCCACCCAAAACAGUUGGGUUUGGGUUGAUGAGGUUACUGAGGGGUAAGAUGCUGCUCAUGUGACUAUUGUUUCAGCUUUUUCUGCCAUUAGGCAACCUACAUUUUGCAUUUAAUCACUUUACAGUUUUUAAUCAGGAGAGCUAGAAGCUCGCCCUGUCUUAAGUACUGACUUACACUGUAUAAUUUAAACAAGUGAAGCUUUAGAUGUUAGUAUACAGGACUUGCACUUUAAUCUAACUGUGGAUCAGCCACCUUUGAAUUGAGCCUUGAGGUAAUGCUUUUUGGUCUUUGUCAGCUCAGUUGGACUUCUGACAGCUAUUGAGAAAGCUGGAGAAGAGGGUUGGCUUUGUUUCCUCUGAUCUGUUGAAGCUUUUUGUCUCUUACCUCAUCUGGGGCAGUUGAGGACUUUAUUUGGAGUCGGGGGGGAGGAAAGGAUUUGAACUGACUGGAAAACACUGCUGGACUUGGGGGGCUCUGUUUUAAGGCUGCCCAGCAGUUGAGGUUGGAUCUAGGUCAGCUUGUUACAGGUAAGACAGCUCUUUGCAUGAAGAACGGGGUCUGUUAAUGUUCUGGAUAACCUCUAAGGUUUUAACUUGAUGUAGAAGUUUGCUUUCCUUCCCAUAGCCUGGGUCAUGUUCAUAAAUGUUGUUGUGGUUGGGUUCCCUGUGUGGCAGCGCUGGGGGAAGACUGGGGGAGGCACUGAGUUUAAAUCAGACAAAGAGUCUGUGGGAUAUUUUUGUUCCAGGUGUUAGGAGCGGGGAGCAGUUCCAGCUGGUCAUGUCCUUGUCGUCAGUGUCACUAUAUGUAUGCAUUCUUAGUUUUGAAUGUUUUUAAUGUAAUGCAGCCUGACAGAGGUGGGUCUGUGGAACGACACAGGUGCUGAGGACGCUGCACCUGCCCUGUGAGUGUCUGAAGGGCUUUCACAUUCGGUCAGCGUGAGGUGGGCCUGGCGGACCCAGUGCCUGUCAGCCGCUGUUGUAUGCUCGGAGCUCUCCUCAAACACCUUUUCAGGUUUCAUCUCCUCAGGAGGAGCUCAGCUUGUGUGCCCCGAGCCUGACGGAGCCACAAACCAAGAUGCAUAGGGUGAGCCCGUCUGGGAGACACCUCGCAGGAGCUCUGGGCCAGGGCACCGGCGCGUAUGGCGGCACCUCACUGUCAGCCCUGUGUGGCAGGGUGAGGCGGUUGGGCCAAGUGGCAAGGCUCAAACUGAGUCUUAGCUGGGGUUCUCUGCCCAGGUCUGUGAAAAGAGUGGCAGAGGGUGGGUAGAUUCUGUAUCCAAAAUGUAUGUACCUGUGGGGACAAAAUGAAGUAGUGAGCCUUCUGCGCUGUUGAAGGCCUAGGGGUGUGAGGUGGACUGCAGUCGGCAGAGUGGUGUGGGCUGGCUUUAGUCUCUCGUGCAAGAUGCUCUUGUCAGUGCUCAUCACAUUGACCUCUUGUUGAUAUGUGAACUUGACUGAGUCGAGCUCCGGCAGCCCUUGACAAGCGAGCCCCUGUUGAGGAGGCUGUUUGGCCAGCCCUGAUAGCACAGUGGUCUCUAACAGCUCACAGCAGCUUUAGUGCCGUCAGUAGCCCCAGGAGCUCCCACAGCAAAUGAUGUUGUUUGAAAGGCCCCGUGAAAAUGCUGCUGAUUUUUUUACUUUGUGACUUGAUUAACACUUUUCCUAAAAACUGGAAUGUUUCAUAAAGGUGUCUGCCCAGGGUUUGCUUACCAAGUUUGCGGCUUAUACAACGAUAAUGUUUUCAAAAUCCAUGUCUUUAUUGCAUUCAUAUUGGGGCAGGAGGGAGGAAGUUGCUGUUAGAGUUGAAGUGUUAACUGUGUGACCGAAGUUAAUCUUUUGGUGGUGAUCCUGGCAAAGGCUAUUGUGUUUUGUUUGUUUGUUUUCCCUUUAGCUUCAUUAGCAGUUUGUUGUAGUCUCUCUUCUCUUUUUCACUCUCUUACCCAUACUUCCCUUUGCUGCUAAGAAAGGAGAUGUGUAUAUGUAUAUUUUAAUCCUGAUGUCAAAGGGAGUUAACUCUGGUUUAGAUAGAAGAUACCAAAAUGUGCUGAAAAGCCACAAAAAGAAAUAGGAAGUUUUGCUUUGAGUUAAGUAUUUGCUCUCUUAUUAGAGCAUUGCAGCCCACUUGUUGGUCUUGAUUACAGCAUCUGAAUUCUUUACCCCCUCCCCCAUGAGGGGAAACAAUUUUGGGAUAUCAC